UACGUAGGGUGCAAGCGUUGUCCGGAAUUAUUGGGCGUAAAGAGCUCGUAGGCGGUUUGUCGCGUCUGCUGUGAAAACGCGAGGCUCAACCUCGCGCCUGCAGUGGGUACGGGCAGACUAGAGUGCGGUAGGGGAGAUUGGAAUUCCUGGUGUAGCGGUGGAAUGCGCAGAUAUCAGGAAGAACACCGGUGGCGAAGGCGGUGGGCUGGGCCGGCACUGACGCUGAGGAGCGAAAGCGUGGGGAGCGAACAGG
Molecule: ribosomal RNA, 253 nt
Filed under: uncultured bacterium
Lineage: Bacteria
Description: partial 16S ribosomal RNA
Rfam family: Bacterial small subunit ribosomal RNA
Source: RNAcentral